This is a long non-coding RNA of Episyrphus balteatus (marmalade hoverfly), 431 nucleotides long. RefSeq lists it as uncharacterized. The transcript has 2 exons. The record is from RefSeq and is a predicted model, not a curated record. Lineage: Eukaryota; Metazoa; Arthropoda; Insecta; Diptera; Syrphidae.
GUUUAUACUACUCGGUUACUAGCACAGUUGUACACAUAAUAAGGUUGCAACAAAAGAAAAUACUAAUACUUACCUAGUUGUUUUGCCUUUUUAUUUAUUUAAAAAUAAACACCAACAAAACUUCUUUUUCAAUUUGAUGGGCGUUUGCUAUUGAAUAAUAAAAUAUUUGCACUCACAGAACUCAACUGAGUACAGGGAUGAUGAGGAAAAGCAGUGAUGAUUGGUUUGUGGCUCAACACACUCCCACCAGUUGAAUAUUAUUUUUACGGAGCUAUUUUAUAAUUAAUUGUUUGAAAAUUUUUUAUCAAAUCUGCUACCAAAACACCAAUAAACAAUUUAACUUUCGAAAAAUUAUAAAUUCAAAAUCAAUCUAACUGUUUUUGUGCCAAAAAAAUCACUUUGAAAAUUGAAAAAUAAAUUGGAUAUAUUUU